This 75-nucleotide transfer RNA is filed under the name Marmota monax (woodchuck). Its description in RNAcentral is "tRNA.Undet". Lineage: Eukaryota; Metazoa; Chordata; Mammalia; Rodentia; Sciuridae. The record is from RNAcentral.
UUGUGUGUGGCUCAGCGGUAGAGUGCCUGCCUAGCAUGUGUUAGGCGCUGGGUUCGAUUCUCAGCACCACAUAAA